UUAGGUUGGUGCAAAAGUAAUUGCGGUUUUUGCCAAUUAAUGGCAAAACCCGCAAUUACUUUUGCACCAACCUAAUAUAA
This 80-nucleotide microRNA precursor is filed under the name Pan troglodytes (chimpanzee). RNAcentral describes it as "miRNA (ENSPTRG00000034718.3)". The record is from RNAcentral. Lineage: Eukaryota; Metazoa; Chordata; Mammalia; Primates; Hominidae.